AUGUCACAGCCACCUGGAAACCAUGUGGGUUCUAAGGACUCUGUUUUUGUGGCCAGAGUCAUAUGGGGACAGUCUUCACUAAUCUCUCUUGAUUUUUUGUGUCUUCCAGUUGUGGAUGGGAGAGACAUGUCAGUUCUUCCUGCCAUACAUAAAAAUUGUGAUGCUCACCCACAUCCAAGUGCUCAGGAAAGUGUAGCCCUUUAUUUUGUAUUUCUAUCUGUACUUUGUUAUAUGCAGUUACUAUUAGCCUUUGUACAUAUGUGCUCCUUCGUAACCAUAGGAAGCAGGAAACUGCACCAGCCACAUCAAGCUCCCUCCCGUGCCCAGGUAUUUCAAGUAAAGGCGUCUCAUCUUAAGAGGAACUGCAAGGCUCACCAAACCAAAAAGGUCACCUAACACAGCUCCCUGGAACAGCGGAGAUAAGAAUCCUGGUGCUCAGAGUGACACGUCUCCCAGUGGUCUGCACGGACGCUGCUGAAGCCACAUUGUCACAACCCUCAGGUAUAGCUCACAGACACCAUGACAUCGUGUGGACUCCGACCCUCAGAGUGGAGCAGACACCUUCGGCGCUGUCCUUGUUCUGGGGAGAACUGGCUCUCAUGGGGUCUGUGUAACUUCCUUUCCUGCCUGAGGUAGAACUGGAGAUGACAGGCCCUCCCUCUUCACAUGCUCUCCAGUGCCUCCCAGACUGUUGCACCAUGACCUCUGAACUCCUGUCAUUAACAAACGCCCCCAUGCUCCCAACCCCUCCCAGACUUCACCUCCUGGCCUUCACGGGUUCCAACUCUCCUCUGAGGACCCACCUCCCUGCAGCCUUCUCAGGUAGAAGCUGGCCUGACCUCUUUUCCCACCUACUUCCAGGAGUGGACACGAGGUUGAGUGUAAUUUUUUUCCAAUUUCUUGCCCACCCUCAAAUAAUGCUGCUUCAGGUUCGGGCCACCCUUGUCUUCACUUCCUCCCUGCUUUUCUCCUGGACACUCCCUGGGCACCGUCACCUGGCAUGAAUAUUGGUAGGCAGCAAGCACAGAACCCUUUGCUUCUUGGUCCCCUGGCUGCCAACAACAAGGAUAUCCUCUUGGCUGGAGGUUCCCACAGCCAAGCCUGGUGCUGCCCUGUGGGCGGCCUGUGAAGCCAGGGAAGCCGUGUGGCUGGGUGGAGGGAGCACGUGUGAAAUGUGAGGGGAAGAGGGGGCGGGGC
Molecule: long non-coding RNA, 1197 nt
Filed under: Piliocolobus tephrosceles (Ugandan red Colobus)
Lineage: Eukaryota; Metazoa; Chordata; Mammalia; Primates; Cercopithecidae
Description: lncRNA (ENSPTEG00000023609.1)
Source: RNAcentral